RNAcentral lists this long non-coding RNA (1454 nucleotides) under Sus scrofa (pig). RNAcentral describes it as "lncRNA (ENSSSCG00065055835.1)". The stretch from base 415 to 519 matches the Rfam family "Maternally expressed 3 conserved region 2". The record is from RNAcentral. Lineage: Eukaryota; Metazoa; Chordata; Mammalia; Artiodactyla; Suidae.
GCAGACGGCGGAGAGCUGGGAUGGAGCGCGCCUUGGCCCGCUGGCCUUGGCUGCAGCUCCUCGGGAGAGCCGGGGCGCCCACGCGAGAACCUCCCUACCUGAGGACGCUGGGAACACGGAUUCCUGGAUCCCACCAGCCUACGAAGAAAGCCACGGGCGGCGACCCCUGGGACCAGGACGACCAAGGAGGAGGACGACCAGAACUGACCAGCCAGCCCCCUUGGCUAAAGGCUUAGACCUGUGCCCUAGUGAGGGGGCAUUGGUCGCCAACCCCUGACCUUUGCUAUGCUUCUGCCUUGUUGCUCUGAUACUUGCCUCUAUGUCUCUGCCUGUGUUAACCUGCCAGCGCCCUGGAGGGUUGCCAUCCCCAGGGAGGUGUCAGUCUUUCUCGCUCCACUUGUUGUCGCCCGAAUGACGUCCUGAACGGAAGGGUCCCUUUGGGAACGUCUCGGGAGGCCGACCUGGGCCAAGGGCACAACCAGCAUCUCACUGGCAAUUCCAAGGCCCUGGGUGGGCUUCUGGAAUGAGCAUGAGCCCCGACGUCAUGCCACGGAACUGCCAGGGGCACCCCCCCUCCUUUGAGCUCUCCCUGUCCCUCCUGGGGGGACAGGGACGAGAAGAGCAGUCUCCCAGGGGGUUGUGAGUAUUGAAUGAGAUGAAGUCGCCUCGGGCAGGGCCAGGCAUAGAGGAGGCAGUCGGCAAAUGUUUGUUGAUAAAGUUUGGCCGAUCAGUCCAGCCCCGGCCCGCUCCCGUGUCUCACCGUCUCAUUUAUUCUCCCACAGCACUCCGGAUGGCCCCUGGCCACGGGGCUCUGCCCGCACCAGCCAAGCUUCUCGAAAGGUCUGUCUUCACUCGCUGGCUUCCUUGCUCACCUCCAAUGUCCUCUCCAACCCACUGCUUCUUGACCUCUGCGCCGUCGAGCAGCUCUCGCGAAGGUCUCCUUCUGGAGUUGGGAAAGCCAAGCUGCAGGUCGGCCUGUCCUCGACACACUGGCAGCGAGCGUCGGCUGAAGAACCGGAUGGAAGAGGCGGGAGAGUCACCACGGACCGGCGUUCCUUCAGGUCGGUCGCCUGGCGUCUUCGGGCUGCGACUCCUUCCUGGAUCGGGCUGAAGCCAUCAUCUGUGUCCUCCGUCGGAAGGGACCUCAGACAUGUGGCUCCUGCACCCUCCAGCUCUGAAAUCGGCAGGCUAGGAUGCAAGUGGCCUUGCUGGGGGGCCCUUCCAAGGGCCGAGGGACCAGCCUCUCGAACGGGCUCGGCGCUCCAGUGACCUUCGCGUCCCCCUCCUCCUUGAAUUGUCUGGAAAACAGAAUGGACAGAUUUUCUGUCUUCAAAGUUUCCGGCUAAACCUCUUCAAAGUUCUUUAUUGUUUGGGACUGAGACACUCAGCAGUGCUAAUGGGUAGUUCCUUUUGUAUUUGCCCUGAAAGGCCAAAAUAUUUUUAUAUCGCUCCAG